CCAGCAGCCGCGGUAAUUCCAGCUCCAAUAGCGUAUAUUAAAGUUGUUGCAGUUAAAAAGCUCGUAGUUGGACUUCCGGUCGCUCGAGUGGUCCGCCGCAAGGUGAGCACCACUUUGAGCGACCUUCCUCUCGAGGACCACGUGUGCCCUUAACUGGGUGUGCGUGGGACUCGGGACCUUUACUUUGAAAAAAUUAGAGUGUUCAAAGCAGGCCUUCGCUUGAAUACUUCAGCAUGGAAUAAUGGAAUAGGACUUUGGUUCUAUUUGUUGGUUUUAGGACCGAAGUAAUGAUUAAUAGGGACAGUCGGGGGCAUUAGUAUUUAAUUGUCAGAGGUGAAAUUCUUGGAUUUAUGAAAGACUAAC
RNAcentral lists this ribosomal RNA (363 nucleotides) under uncultured eukaryote. Its description in RNAcentral is "SSU rRNA". It matches the Rfam family "Eukaryotic small subunit ribosomal RNA", at positions 567 to 940 of the family's 1831-position model. The record is from RNAcentral.